AGUGAACGCUGGCGGUAGGCCUAACACAUGCAAGUCGAACGGCAGCACAGUAAGAGCUUGCUCUUACGGGUGGCGAGUGGCGGACGGGUGAGGAAUACAUCGGAAUCUACUUUUUCGUGGGGGAUCACGUAGGGAAACUUACGCUAAUACCGCAUCCGACCUACGGGUGAAAGCAGGGGAUCUUCGGACCUUGCGCGAUUGAAUGAGCCGAUGUGGGAUUAGCUAGUUGGCGGGGUAAAGGCCCACCAAGGCGACGAUCCGUAGCUGGUCUGAGAGGAUGAUCAGCCACACUGGAACUGGAACACGGUCCAGACUCCUAAGGGAGGCAGCAGUGGGGAAUAUUGGACAAUGGGCGCAAGCCUGAUCCAGCCAUACCGCGUGGGUGAAGAAGGCGUUCGGGUUGUAAAGACCUUUUGUGGGGAAAGAAAAGCAGCAGGUUAAUACCCCGCUGUUCUGACGGUAACCAAAGAAUAAGCACCGGCUAACUUCGUG
This 492-nucleotide ribosomal RNA is filed under the name uncultured bacterium. RNAcentral's name for it is "partial 16S ribosomal RNA". It matches the Rfam family "Bacterial small subunit ribosomal RNA", at positions 29 to 507 of the family's 1533-position model. The record is from RNAcentral.